RNAcentral lists this long non-coding RNA (1360 nucleotides) under Homo sapiens (human). RNAcentral's name for it is "HSALNT0383706". The record is from RNAcentral. Lineage: Eukaryota; Metazoa; Chordata; Mammalia; Primates; Hominidae.
UUGCAGGCGCUGGGGCUCCCAAAGGACGGAGCUUUGAAUCCACCUGGGAGGCUUAAGAGAAAGUGCUGAGUCCCCCAUGCCCUACCCCUGAGACUGCUGACAGGCAUCGCUGAGGGCUGCAGCUUUGGAAUCGGGCAUCUUCUGAGGAAGAGAAAGGCACCACAGCCACGGCACAGAAGACUAGAGACGGGUGUCACUAUGCUGCCCAGGCUGGUCUCUCGUGGCUUCAAGAGAUAUUCCCACCUUGGUCUUCCAGAGCACUGGAAUUGAAGUUCUAGGUGCAAUGUUUUAAGGGGAAGACUUACACUAUGAAGCUAGCCCAGAAGAGGGUGACUAGAGUACUGAGGAGUUUCUACCUGGAAGGGCUGUAAGGAAGACAACUGCUAUGUUGUGAGCGGCUCUAUGGAGAGGCCCAUGUGGAGGGAAGUGAGGAAGGCCUCUGGCCAACAGUCCAGGAGGAAGUGAAGCCCUCAGUCCAACAGCCUGUGUGGAACUGAACCCUGCAAACAACUCUGUGUGUGAGCUUGGAAGUGGAUCCAUAUUCAGUCAAACCUUGAGAUGGGACACCAUGCUCUGCUAACACUUGAUUGUGGUCCCAGCUAGGCCACUGCUGAAGUCUUGACUCAGAGAAACGAUGAUAUAGUAAAUGUUUGUUGUUUCAAGUUGGUAAGUUUUGGGAUAAUUUUUUAUAUAGUGAUAAUUUUUUAUAUACUUUAAAAUAACACAUUGCCCUAUCCUUUGGUUACACUUUUCUCUUGGAACUCUGCUUGCCCAUAUAUUACAGAAAUAUUUUUCAGAUCAUGGGCUGAAAGGUGGAUUAUGGAUGCAAUGUUUAAAUUUAGCAAUGUCAUUUAUGACUGUUCAUAUGAGCUUUGCUGCAUAAAAUGUUGAUAUUAAUUUGUUUCCCUUUAAGACAUUCUUAAUGUUUACCUCUCAGUAUUUUCUUUGUAAUCAAUUAAUGUAAGAUGAAUAUAGUUUGUAGGUUUUACCUUUCUUGAUUCGUAUACAAAACACACAACAUCCAACCAUUGUUAUUUAAAGAUUAUCUAGGAGGAGAUGAUGGAAACUCUGUUUUGGGCCACCUUCUUUACACAUUGGGUCUAUUUCCCCUAACUUGAGUAUAUAUUAAACUAGUGGGGGAUUGAGCUACAAAAAUGCUACUUGGUGAGAAUUUUAUUAAUACAAAUACUCAACUCUGAAGUUACGUUUUUGUGGAAAGUUAUCACUUUGGAAUUUGAAUUUUCUUGGAGCUAAGCCACUGGUAGUUGUAAAAGCUACACCUGUAAAUUUGCUCCCUAGAAGAUACUUUCGUUUAGUGACCACUUGUUUCUCUGUGGAUAAAUUCAAUUAUAAAUUACAA